This 856-nucleotide ribosomal RNA is filed under the name Periconia heveae. Its description in RNAcentral is "partial large subunit ribosomal RNA". It matches the Rfam family "Eukaryotic large subunit ribosomal RNA", at positions 66 to 940 of the family's 3401-position model. Lineage: Eukaryota; Fungi; Ascomycota; Dothideomycetes; Pleosporales; Periconiaceae. The record is from RNAcentral.
CAACAGGGAUUGCCCUAGUAACGGCGAGUGAAGCGGCAACAGCUCAAAUUUGAAAUCUGGCCCUUUCAGGGUCCGAGUUGUAAUUUGCAGAGGGUGCUUUGGUGUUGGCGGCGGUCUAAGUUCCUUGGAACAGGACAUCGCAGAGGGUGAGAAUCCCGUAUGUGGUCGCCUGCCUUCGCCGUGUAAAGCCCCUUCGACGAGUCGAGUUGUUUGGGAAUGCAGCUCUAAAUGGGAGGUAAAUUUCUUCUAAAGCUAAAUACCGGCCAGAGACCGAUAGCGCACAAGUAGAGUGAUCGAAAGAUGAAAAGCACUUUGGAAAGAGAGUCAAACAGCACGUGAAAUUGUUAAAAGGGAAGCGCUUGCAGCCAGACUUGCCUGCGGUUGUUCGCCUGGGCUCUUGCCCGGGUUACUCUUCCGCAGGCAGGCCAGCAUCAGUUUGGGCGGUCGGAUAAAGGUCCCUGACACGUAUCUCCCUUCGGGGUUAACAUAUAGGGGGGACGCAAUGCGACCAGCCUGGACUGAGGUCCGCGCAUCUGCUAGGAUGCUGGCGUAAUGGCUGUAAGCGGCCCGUCUUGAAACACGGACCAAGGAGUCUAACAUCUAUGCGAGUGUUUGGGUGUCAAGCCCGAGCGCGUAAUGAAAGUGAACGGAGGUGGGAACCCCUCGGGGCGCACCAUCGACCGAUCCUGAUGUCUUCGGAUGGAUUUGAGUAAGAGCAUAGCUGUUGGGACCCGAAAGAUGGUGAACUAUGCUUGAAUAGGGUGAAGCCAGAGGAAACUCUGGUGGAGGCUCGCAGCGGUUCUGACGUGCAAAUCGAUCGUCAAAUUUGGGCAUAGGGGCGAAAGACUAAUCGAAC